CAUCCUACGGGGCGCAGCAGUCGGGAAUAUUGCGCAAUGGAGGAAACUCUGACGCAGUGACGCCGCGUGCAGGACGAAGGUUUUCGGAUUGUAAACUGCUUUUGACAGGGAAGAGCAGAAGACGGUACCUGUCGAAUAAGCCACGGCUAACUACGUGCCAGCAGCCGCGGUAAUACGUAGGGGGCAAGCGUUGUCCGGAUUUACUGGGUGUAAAGGGCGUGUAGCCGGGCUGACAAGUCAGAUGUGAAAUCCGGGGGCUCAACCCCCG
This 268-nucleotide ribosomal RNA is filed under the name uncultured bacterium. RNAcentral describes it as "partial 16S ribosomal RNA". It matches the Rfam family "Bacterial small subunit ribosomal RNA", at positions 335 to 618 of the family's 1533-position model. The record is from RNAcentral.